GCAGCGCACACACCUCAUCGCCGGGCUUCCAGCGGGAGACAGAGCUGCCGACGGCGAUGACGGUGCCGGAGCACUCGAGGCCGGGGUAGGGGCUAGCGCCCUUGGGCGGCGGGUAGAGGCCCUUGCGCUGUUGGAGGUCGGCACGGUUGAGGGCGGCGGCGGCGAUCUUAAUGAGGACGUCGUUAUCGCCAACCGUCGGAUCGGCGACGUCUUGGAGCUGGAGGACUUCCGGGCCGCCGGGGGAUGUGAUGACGAUGGCCU
This 261-nucleotide unclassified non-coding RNA is filed under the name Hevea brasiliensis (rubber tree). The record is from RNAcentral. Lineage: Eukaryota; Viridiplantae; Streptophyta; Magnoliopsida; Malpighiales; Euphorbiaceae.